GGACAACUGCCCUCGGGUGGGGGAUAACCCCGGGAAACUGGGGCUAAUCCCCCAUAGGGGAUGGGUACUGGAAUGUCCCAUCUCCGAAAGCGCUUAGCGCCCGAGGAUGGGUCUGCGGCGGAUUAGGUUGUUGGUGGGGUAACGGCCCACCAAGCCGAAGAUCCGUACGGGCCAUGAGAGUGGGAGCCCGGAGAUGGACCCUGAGACACGGGUCCAGGCCCUACGGGGCGCAGCAGGCGCGAAACCUCCGCAAUGCGGGAAACCGCGACGGGGUCAGCCGGAGUGCUCGCGCAUCGCGCGGGCUGUCGGGGUGCCUAAAAAGCACCCCAUAGCAAGGGCCGGGCAAGGCCGGUGGCAGCCGCCGCGGUAAUACCGGCGGCCCGAGUGGCGGCCACUUUUAUUGGGCCUAAAGCGUCCGUAGCCGGGCUGGUAAGUCCUCCGGGAAAUCUGGUCGCUUAACGAUCAGACUGCCGGAGGAUACUGCCAGCCUAGGGACCGGGAGAGGCCGGGGGUAUUCCCGGGGUAGGGGUGAAAUCCUGUAAUCCCGGGAGGACCACCUGUGGCGAAGGCGCCCGGCUGGAACGGGUCCGACGGUGAGGGACGAAGGCCAGGGGAGCGAACCGGAUUAGAUACCCGGGUAGUCCUGGCUGUAAACGAUGCGGACUAGGUGUCACCGAAGCUACGAGCUUCGGUGGUGCCGGAGGGAAGCCGUUA
Molecule: ribosomal RNA, 714 nt
Filed under: uncultured archaeon
Lineage: Archaea
Description: bacterial SSU rRNA
Rfam family: Archaeal small subunit ribosomal RNA
Source: RNAcentral